AUGGUGUGGCACGACGUAUUCUCCAGGCUACAGCUCACCAGCAGCAUUCCCCUCGGCCACGAGCCCUUCUUCGACUGGUGGAAGGCAUCCACGUCAUCUGCCCCGCCUUCUCUAUGUAAGGGCACGGCCUCCCUUGUGAUCAUCGUCGCCUGGACCCUCUGGAAGCAUAGAAAUGCUUGCACCUUAGACGACAUCCGCCCGUCAGUGACCGAGACCUCUCGAGCUGCUCUGGCCGAGGCAGCAAUGUGGGCCACGGCUGGCGCAAAAGGACUGCGCUCCUUUGUAUUUGAACCGCCUUGA
This 300-nucleotide ribosomal RNA is filed under the name Triticum aestivum (bread wheat). Its description in RNAcentral is "partial small subunit ribosomal RNA". Lineage: Eukaryota; Viridiplantae; Streptophyta; Magnoliopsida; Poales; Poaceae. The record is from RNAcentral.